This 628-nucleotide ribosomal RNA is filed under the name Uronema sp. CCAC 3491. Its description in RNAcentral is "eukaryotic LSU rRNA". It matches the Rfam family "Eukaryotic large subunit ribosomal RNA", at positions 1 to 657 of the family's 3401-position model. The record is from RNAcentral. Lineage: Eukaryota; Viridiplantae; Chlorophyta; Chlorophyceae; Chaetophorales; Uronemataceae.
UCGACCUGAGCUCAGGCAAGAUUACCCGCUGAACUUAAGCAUAUCAAUAAGCGGAGGAAAAGAAACUAACAAGGAUUCCCCUAGUAACGGCGAGCGAACCGGGAAUAGCCCAGCUUGAAAAUCUCCCUUGGAGAAUUGUAGUCUGUAGAAGCGCCCUCUGCGGCGGCCGGGCUCCAAGUUCCCUGGAAGGGGGCGUCAGAGAGGGUGAGAACCCCGUCGAGCCUUGGCUUAGCUGCCUCACGAGGUGCUUUCGAAGAGUCGGGUUGUUUGGGAAUGCAGCCCAAAGCAGGUGGUAAAUCCCAUCUAAGGCUAAAUACUGGCGAGAGACCGAUAGCGAACAAGUACCGCGAGGGAAAGAUGAAAAGAACUUUGAAAAGAGAGUUAAAAAGUGCUUGAAAUUGUUGAGGGGGAAGCGAUUGGCAGCUGCGUGUGCGCCCAGGCUUACGCCGUCCUAACGGGCGGCUGCAUGUGCUGGGCGCUGGUCAGCAUGGGUUGGCUUGGCAGGAUAACCGCGGGGGUUGUUACCUCGUCUAUGCUGCCGAGCCGACCGAGGCGUGAAGGCCGCUUUGUCCUUCGGGAUCUGCGGCCUCAAGAUGCUGGCGGAAGGCUUUCAAUCGGCCCGUCUUGA